UGGGGAAUAUUGCACAAUGGGCGGAAGCCUGAUGCAGCGACGCCGCGUGAGGGAUGACGGCCUUCGGGUUGUAAACCUCUUUCAGUAGGGACGAAGCGUAAGUGACGGUACCUGCAGAAGAAGCUCCGGCUAAAUACGUGCCAGCAGCCGCGGUAAUACGUAUGGAGCAAGCGUUAUCCGGAUUCAUUGGGCGUAAAGCGCUCGUAGGCGGUCUGUUAGGUCGGCAAGUUAAAUCCGGGGGCUCAACCCCCGUCCGCUUCCGAUACCGGCAGACUUGAGUUUGGUAGGGGAAGGUGGAAUUCCUAGUGUAGCGGUGGAAUGCGCAGAUAUUAGGAAGAACACCGGUGGCGAAGGCGGCCUUCUGGGCCAUAACUGACGCUGAGGAGCGAAAGCUAGGGGAGCGAACAGG
Molecule: ribosomal RNA, 409 nt
Filed under: Verrucomicrobiota bacterium
Lineage: Bacteria; Pseudomonadati; Verrucomicrobiota
Description: Verrucomicrobia bacterium partial 16S ribosomal RNA
Rfam family: Bacterial small subunit ribosomal RNA
Source: RNAcentral